Molecule: RNA transcript, 1878 nt
Organism: Magnolia sinica
Lineage: Eukaryota; Viridiplantae; Streptophyta; Magnoliopsida; Magnoliales; Magnoliaceae
Exons: 3
Source: RefSeq, a predicted model, not a curated record
GCUAAAAGAUACAAUCCAGAAUGCCUUUAAAGAGUAUUAGAAAUUUAGAAGGGCGAAUAGUUAACCUCUGGAGUGUUAUUUAUAAAACCAAAAAAUAUUGCGUUUGUGUGUUUGGUCUGGAGAUAGCUAUGUAGGGCUGCCAAUGGGCACUGUGUUUAUGGAUACCCAAAGUACCUAACCCAUAUUCAGACCUAAGGGAAUCGGAUUGGGGUCCAGUUGCAUUUGGAUACGAAUCUAAACCCAAAAUGAUUUUUUAAAAAACAAAAAGUUGAAAAGAGGACGUGAAUAUUAUUAGGGUCAGAGGCCAGAAAAUUAGAUCACCCAAAUGCUAUUCUAAAUUAGAAACUGAUCCACUAUAGCCUAUUGCAUGCUUGCUUAGAGAAUGCAGACCAUCUUUCCCUAAGUGUCUCUUGUGAAGGGCAUACAAGCCAUAUAAACAAACGGGCCCACCAUGAAGAUCUGUACGUCGAGACGGAACAUUGGCAUCCAUGGAUUUCAAUGGUGCAGUCUGCCUGAUGAGUGGAUGAGCCUGGUUUUUACACCAGGUGAUCUUUCAUUGUGGGCCCUGCCGUUUACAUGGAUGGCAUGUUCUGUGUAAGUGGGAAUGGUGAGACUGCAAGCUAAGUUAACAUACAUUCGCUGUAGGUGAUCAAUUCUCUUCUUAACUUUCCCUAUUUUCCUUACAUGUUGUUUUGGAUAGAAAGAAAUAUUACUCAAAAUCAAGAUACAAUAGAAAAUUGAAGCAGAUUUUAAUACAUUAUGUCAUAUAAGAAGCUAAAUGUUCCAUCCAACCAAUUCAUUCAUAUAAGAAAACGAGCUAUGCUAUCCGUAUGUUUUGCUGUGACAGAAGGAAUCUAAAAAUAAAAGAAAUAAAACCCAUCAAUCCCAUCCAUCUGUUGUUAAAACCCACCAAAAUUGCGCAAAGCUGCUAUCAAAACAACAGAAGUACAAGACCCAAGAGCAUGUCCGGCAUGCAAAUGCAGUGUGGAUUCUGGAUUGAGACAAACAAGAAAUACAAAAGCAGGAAGGACACUGAAGUGGCAUAUGCAGAAGGACAGAGAAAUUUGUAGACUUGAUGCAAGGAUCAGGCAGAACCUUGCUACCAUGCAGCAGUUGGAACAUGAGCUUGGGGCCAUGUCUUCCUUUGAUUAUAGGAAAGUUUUUAUCAACUCAGUCUGGUCAAACUUUAGAACUGAAAGGCUAAAUCUUGCCUUGAGUCUUAGUAUCCAACAUUAAAAACUGCUGCAUUAGUUGUAUGUCUUUGAAUCAAAGUUGGGUUUGGGCUGAAUCAUUUCAUGUGUUCAAAACGCAGCGUCUUCCCUCAGUUACUUAUAUCCUUUUUUUCUUUUUUUUUUUGCUUUAAAUGAAGGUUCAUGCAUUCAAAAAUGCAACAUCUUUCCCUGCUCAGGUAACUCAUCUCCUUUUGCUUUUUCUUUAAAUGAAGGUUGGGGAGAACGGCUAUGGAUCUAUUCCUUCAUAUUCUUCAAAGCCAUAUGGAGGGUUUUUAUUUCAUAUCUUAGAGUUUUGCCUCUGCUUCAGGCUGGUUAUUUGGGUAUUUUAAUUUUUAUCUGAGCCUGCUCUUUGUAUAUUUUCAUUUGUACAGACUGCCUUCAACCCUGGAGAUUGUCAUCCUGGCCCAUGCAGUGGGUAAAGUGAUGGGUAAAGGUGGAGCAAACAUAGGAAAAAUUCGUAAGGUAUGUUCCGUUCCCAGUUAUUAUUGUUUUAUAUCAGGUAACAGGCUUGUGUUUUUAACAGUCCGAUUCAGUGAACUAUCCCAAAAAAAGUCAAUUCAGUGAAAACAUUAUACCAUUCAUAAAAGGUGCAAAAAUUAUAGUUUUAAAGCAUAAAAGGUUCCAUUCAGUGAACUGUCCCAAAAAA